CCAGACUCCUACGGGAGGCAGCAGUGGGGGAUAUUGCACAAUGGGGGGAACCCUGAUGCAGCGACGCCGCGUGGGCGAUGGAGUACUUCGGUAUGUAAAGCCCUAUCAGCAGGGAAGAAAAUGACGGUACCUGACUAAGAAGCCCCGGCUAAAUACGUGCCAGCAGCCGCGGUAAUACGUAUGGGGCAAGCGUUAUCCGGAUUUACUGGGUGUAAAGGGAGCGCAGGCGGCACGGCAAGUCUGGUGUGAAAGCCCGGGGCCCAACCCCGGGACUGCAUUGGAAACUGCCGGGCUGGAGUGCCGGAGGGGCAGGCGGAAUUCCUGGUGUAGCGGUGAAAUGCGCAGAUAUCAGGAAGAACACCGGUGGCGCAGGCGGCUUGCUGGACGACAACUGACGGUGAGGCGCGAAAGCGUGGGGAGCAAACAGGAUUAGAUACCCGAGUAC
Molecule: ribosomal RNA, 445 nt
Filed under: uncultured bacterium
Lineage: Bacteria
Description: bacterial SSU rRNA
Rfam family: Bacterial small subunit ribosomal RNA
Source: RNAcentral